This is a long non-coding RNA of Vespula pensylvanica (western yellowjacket), 3330 nucleotides long. RefSeq lists it as uncharacterized. The record is from RefSeq and is a predicted model, not a curated record. The transcript has 5 exons. Lineage: Eukaryota; Metazoa; Arthropoda; Insecta; Hymenoptera; Vespidae.
UAUAUAUAUAUAUAUAUACCUAUAUGCAUGCAAGCAUACAUAUAGAUCUACAAAGUAGAUCAGUUGCUUCUUGCGAAGAAGGAAUGAACAUAACGGUGAAAAGCGACGAUUUUCCUGAGAAAAUUUUCAACGCACGGAUCUCACUUGAUAGCAGUGCAAGAAUAGUUUUAACGGAUGUUCGAUUAUACAAAACUUUACUGUCUGUGCGUAAAAGAGUCUUCACGGAUUCUGUAGAAAUUUAAAGCGGCGAUGGUGAUUUAUUCAUCGUUGAAAUAAAUUAUGAGAAUUAUGGACUUUAAGCAAACUCAUGGGGCGUGAUUUAUUUGCUCGUAAAUUAAUCCAUUAUAUAGUGAUACAAAUUUUGUAAAGUGAGAUAUAGGAAGUAACGAAACUGGCAGAUUGGUGUCGUACACGCAACGAGGAAACUGGUAAGACGUUUCGUGUAUCUACAUACAAACGAGAUCUCUGAUGGUAAGACUGCCUAAGGUUGACAGCUGUCUAAGAGUUUUCACCGCGACGACGAAGACGACGACGAAGACGACGACGACGACGACGACGACGACGACGACGACGACGACGACGACGACGAAGACUACGACGACGACGGCGACGGUGCUAUCUCCAUAGCUGGAUCAAUUUCCUGGAUCCUUUUCGUGGAAGAAGGACAAGAUCCUCGAGGUUCUACACCACGUUAUCGGAAAUUCUUCUCUUUCCUCUAUCGUCUCACCAACCUAUAUAGAUUCAAGAGUACACACGUACACACAUUUUGAUUUGCUCGGGAGAUGAAAGGGAGCGAGAUAGAUCGAAGACACAAAGACGUUUUCCAAGAGCUAGAAAGAAUUUAGAAAGAGACAAAAAAAAGAUGAGGAUAAAAAGUUGAAGAAGAUGAAAUAAAAAUAAUUUCGCAGUAUUACAAGCGAGUCCAACUCAACGUUGGAUCAUAGACAAAAAGGAAAAGGAUCCUAAUUGAAUGUUGAUCAACUUUACUCACGCUCUUGGAAAUAUUCAAUAAUUUCGCGUUGACGUAUCCCAGGAAAGCAUAUUAACACGUCGACUACGUUUGGAACGUAAUCUACGAGUUAUGCAUCUCGCAUCUAAUUUAUUUUCCAUUCCGCUCUAGUUCCUCUUAGUAGAACAUGUCAUCAUCAGUGCUAGAUCCUAUCUUAAGAAUCGUAUUCCGGUUUUAGGUGAAACAUACGUUGAGGAAUAGCUAGAGCUCCCCUUGGAUGCCUAAUUCGAGAACGAACGUUGCCAUUAGUGGUCGAGUGCAUUCGUGUUUGUGAAAAUUUAAGCCAAAAAGAAAAACUAAGAAACUGAGAAAAAUAGAGAGCGAAAGAGAAAGAGGUACGUGGGAAAAAAAAUGGAAAAAGAAUGGAAUUCGUUGAGAAGUGGUAAGAGGAGAAUGAGAGAGAGAGAGAGAGAGAGAGAGAGAGAGAGAGAGAGAGAGAGAGAGAGAAGGGGUCGUGGACUGAAAGAACGAAGGAAAACAAACGUAAUAAGAUAGGAGAAGGGAGUGCAAGUGCGAAUGCACGGAAAACAGAAACUGUGAUGAAGUAAGAGCCUGGUCUUGCAACGAGGGUCACUUAUCGUCGCGACCAUCUGCGAGUAUCGUCCACAGUCAGCGUACUGUCGGUCUGAAGUAUGUGCCGACUCCAGUGCCAUCCGAUAAGGCUUUUCGUAUCAGCGUGCUAGGAGAAAAAAGUGUCCUCUCGUUGCGGUCACGCUUACUUCCUGCCCUCUUUUAUUUUCUUGUCUCCUAUCCUCCGUUUUACUAUUUCUCCUUUAUUUUCCUCAUUUCCUUUUUUGAAAAACUUGGAAUACAUAGCUAGAUAGUUUUAAGUAGAUACGCUCCUAUACGCGGACACUUUUGUUCUUUGAUCGCCUGAAUGAAUAGGCCGAUCGUAGAUUGUGAACAAAAAUUUUCUUUCAUUUUCGCUCUCGCCUCCCCCUUCUCCAUCUUUCUCUCUUUUCUUUUUUCUUUUCUUUUCUUUUCUUUUCUUUUCUUUUUUUAUUAUUUGGAGGGAGAAGUAGGUUUUUUUCUAUACACUCUCUCAGAAAGAGAACUCUUUUCUUCUUUCGGUAGUACCUCUACCACACGACCGACCCAUCCUUCCCUGUCCCCUUCCUCCCUACCUUUUCUUUUUCACCUGAAACUCUUAGACUCAACACGCUUUCGCUUUUAUCCAGGUCCACGGAGUGUAACGUUCUAUUGUAGAGAAAGGUAGUAAGCAUAGUCUCCGCGUCUACUUUGAACCAUUCUUGAAUCGAAAGGCGAAAUCGAUAUUACCUUCUUCUUCUUUUUCUUCUUCUUCUACUUCUUCUUCUUCUUCUUCUUCUUCUUCUUCUUCUUCUUCUUCUUCUUCUUCUUCUUCUUCUUCUUCUUCUUCUUCUUCUUCAACAUCACUGGCGAGUGGCUCCUACUGUCUUCUCGCCACUGUCUUCAUUAAGUGUUCCGGCUGCUUCGGCUAAAUGAGUUAGUCAGGUUCUGCUCUUUGGUCCCGAACCUUGAUUGCUUCCAAGGCGUUCUCCUUUUUCUUCACUGAAACUACUUCACGUUCUCAGGCCAAGAUAUCCUUUGUCGUGGCUCAACGCAUCAGUCAAAGUAACUAUUCCGUUCCUCUCGUAAGGACCUUUCACCUUCUCAUCUCUCUCUCUCUCCCUCUCUCCCUCUCUUUGUCUGUCUUUUUCCCCCUGUCUCUCUUACUCACUCUCUACAUCUCUCUCCUGUCCUCUAUGGAACAAGAACACUCCUAUCAAUAGAGUUUUGGGAAUCGUUCGAUUGGAUCUUACAGUCUAAUAGCGAUUCCAUCUUCUCGACGUACUUUUUCGAAAGCUAGAGAAAUUAAUUAAAACGCCGCAAAGCGGAUCACUGCACUUGCCUUUUAAUUGAUCUCUCACUCUUUCUCUCUCUCAGCGCGAGUAUUACUUUCAUCCCUCCUCUUCCUCUUCCUCCUUUUCCUCUUUCUCGUCCUUCUCAACUCCUACUCUUUCUCCGUUAAUCUCUUGUUUUUCUUUCGCAUCGACUCAAAUUUUCCACUAUUUGUUCGUUCAAGAGUUCCAAAUCGUGACUUUUCAAAUCCUUCCGCGAACUCUUUCAUCGAAACUAAUUCUAAAUCGAUUUCACGUUAACCUGUUAACUCUAUAAAUAUAUUUUUUGAAGGUGUAUGUAUGUAUGUAUAUAUAUAUAUAUAUAUAUAUAUAUAUAUAUAUAUUUUACGUAACAAAAAUGAAGAGAUGACGAAUACAGUCGUCAAACACAUAGUAUACGCAGUUGCUAUAAAAUUGAAUUAAAUUCCAACGCAGUGGUAGUUGGUUUUCCCUUCUUUUUUG